CGAGCUGAUCCCCUUCGGGGGUGACGCUCGUGGAAUGAGCGGCGGACGGGUGAGUAACACGUGGGCAACCUGCCUGUAAGAUCGGAAUAACUCCGGGAAACCGGAGCUAAUGCCGGGUAACAUGUUCCUUCGCAUGAAGGAACAUUAAAAGAUGGCUUCUCGCUAUCACUUACAGAUGGGCCCGCGGCGCAUUAGCUAGUUGGUGAGGUAACGGCUCACCAAGGCGACGAUGCGUAGCCGACCUGAGAGGGUGAUCGGCCACACUGGGACUGAGACACGGCCCAGACUCCUACGGGAGGCAGCAGUAGGGAAUCUUCCGCAAUGGACGAAAGUCUGACGGAGCAACGCCGCGUGAACGAUGAAGGUCUUCGGAUCGUAAAGUUCUGUUGUUAGGGAAGAACAAGUACCGUGCGAAUAGAACGGUACCUUGACGGUACCUAACGAGGAAGCCCCGGCUAACUACGUGCCAGCAGCCGCGGUAAUACGUAGGGGGCAAGCGUUGUCCGGAAUUAUUGGGCGUAAAGCGCGCGCAGGCGGUUCCUUAAGUCUGAUGUGAAAGGCCACGGCUCAACCGUGGAGGGCCAUUGGAAACUGGGGAACUUGAGGACAGAAGAGGAGAGUGGAAUUCCACGUGUAGCGGUGAAAUGCGUAGAUAUGUGGAGGAACACCAGUGGCGAAGGCGACUCUCUGGUCUGUUUCUGACGCUGAGGUGCGAAAGCGUGGGUAGCAAACAGGAUUAGAUACCCUGGUAGUCCACGCCGUAAACGAUGAGUGCUAGGUGUUAGGGGGCUUCCACCCCUUAGUGCUGAAGUUAACGCAUUAAGCACUCCGCCUGGGGAGUACGGCCGCAAGGCUGAAACUCAAGGAAUUGACGGGGCCCGCACAGCGUGAGCAUGUGUUUAUUACGAAGCACGCGAGAUCUUACAGUCUUGACAUCUUGAACCACCUAGAGAUAGGUCUUCCUCGGACGAUGACAGUGGUGCAUGGUGUCGUCAGCUCGGUCUGAACUGUAGCUAGUCCGCACGAGGCACCCUACUUAGUGCAGCAUAGUGACUUAGUAUUGCAGUACAGCAG
This 1074-nucleotide ribosomal RNA is filed under the name Halobacillus sp. R139. RNAcentral describes it as "bacterial SSU rRNA". It matches the Rfam family "Bacterial small subunit ribosomal RNA", at positions 63 to 1134 of the family's 1533-position model. Lineage: Bacteria; Bacillati; Bacillota; Bacilli; Caryophanales; Bacillaceae. The record is from RNAcentral.